UACGGGGGGGGCAAGCGUUGUUCGGAUUUACUGGGCGUAAAGCGGGUGUAGGCGGGCCGUUAAGUUGGGGGUGAAAUCCCGGAGCUCAACUCCGGAACUGCCUCCAAAACUGGCGGCCUGGAGCAGAGGAGAGGCGAGCGGAAUUCCGAGUGUAGAGGUGAAAUUCGUAGAUAUUCGGAGGAACACCAGUGGCGAAGGCGGCUCGCUGGACUCUUGCUGACGCUGAGACGCGAAAGCGUGGGGAGCAAACAGG
This 253-nucleotide ribosomal RNA is filed under the name uncultured bacterium. Its description in RNAcentral is "partial 16S ribosomal RNA". It matches the Rfam family "Bacterial small subunit ribosomal RNA", at positions 524 to 776 of the family's 1533-position model. The record is from RNAcentral.